This 405-nucleotide ribosomal RNA is filed under the name uncultured bacterium. Its description in RNAcentral is "partial 16S ribosomal RNA". It matches the Rfam family "Bacterial small subunit ribosomal RNA", at positions 30 to 526 of the family's 1533-position model. The record is from RNAcentral.
AUUGAACGCUGGCGGCAGGCUUAACACAUGCAAGUCGAACGAGUGGCGGACGGGUGAGUAAUGCUUGGGAAUCUUGCUUAUGGAGGGGGAUAACUACGGGAAACUGUAGCUAAUACCGCGUACCAUAGGAUGAGCCCAAGUGGGAUUAGGUAGUUGGUGAGGUAACUGCUCACCAAGCCGACGAUCUCUAGCUGGUCUGAGAGGAUGACCGUACACACGUGGCGUGAGACACGGCCCGAACUCAGACGUGAGGCAGCAGUGGGGAGUAUUGCGCGGUGGGGGCAAACUGACGCGGCCAAGCCGCGUGAAUGAAGAAGGCAUUCGGGUUGUAAAGAUCUUUCGGUAGCGAGGCGUUAAAUACAGAGGAAGCACCGGCUAACUCCGUGCCAGCAGCCGCGGUAGUAA